GUUAGAUUGAAACCUGAGGUUAAAAAUUGAAGGAAAAAGGGUAGAGGAGAGAAAAAGCAGAGAACCCAAAAACAAAAACUUCUCCAUCUCUCUAGGGUUUCUUCCAAAUUUCCAACUUUCUCUUGUUUUUCACAUUUUUGGUUACAUUUAAGCACUGACCCAUAAAAGAGAGAUCACCUUGUUUUCUGAGAGAAGGAGAAGAAGUGAAAAGAGUAGCAUAUAUACAAAUACAUAAGCUUUAGAUAAUAUUGACAUAUAUAUUUAUAUAGAAAUAAAG
This 277-nucleotide unclassified non-coding RNA is filed under the name Hevea brasiliensis (rubber tree). Lineage: Eukaryota; Viridiplantae; Streptophyta; Magnoliopsida; Malpighiales; Euphorbiaceae. The record is from RNAcentral.